UUUGAUCCUGGCUCAGGAUGAACGCUAGCGGCAGGCCUUAUACAUGCAAGUCGAACGGUAACAUUGGUGCUUGCACCAGAUGACGAGUGGCGCACGGGUGCGUAACGCGUAUGCAACCUACCUUUUACUAGAGUAUAGCCCAGAGAAAUUUGGAUUAAUCCUCUAUAACAUCUUUUAAUUUCAUGAUUAAUUGAUUAAAGUUUUAACGGUAAAAGAUGGGCAUGCGUCCUAUUAGUUUGUAGGUGAGGUAACGGCUCACCUAGACUACGAUAGGUAGGGGCCCUGAGAGGGGGAUCCCCCACACUGGUACUGAGACACGGACCAGACUCCUACGGGAGGCAGCAGUAAGGAAUAUUGGACAAUGGACGAAAGUCUGAUCCAGCCAUGCCGCGUGCAGGAUGAAAGCCCUAUGGGUUGUAAACUGCUUUUAUACAGGAAGAAACACUCCGACGUGUCGGAGCUUGACGGUACUGUAAGAAUAAGGAUCGGCUAACUCCGUGCCAGCAGCCGCGGUAAUA
This 518-nucleotide ribosomal RNA is filed under the name uncultured Flavobacteriia bacterium. Its description in RNAcentral is "bacterial SSU rRNA". It matches the Rfam family "Bacterial small subunit ribosomal RNA", at positions 12 to 525 of the family's 1533-position model. Lineage: Bacteria; Pseudomonadati; Bacteroidota; Flavobacteriia. The record is from RNAcentral.